This is a regulatory RNA element of 62 nucleotides. It matches the Rfam family "eL15-Euryarchaeota ribosomal protein leader". The record is from Rfam.
CCUGUUCGGCACACGCCCCACAGGUCGGGAUGUGAUCCCGGAGGUCGGGAUUGAACCAGGAA